Molecule: ribosomal RNA, 608 nt
Filed under: Tubeufia chiangmaiensis
Lineage: Eukaryota; Fungi; Ascomycota; Dothideomycetes; Tubeufiales; Tubeufiaceae
Description: eukaryotic LSU rRNA
Rfam family: 5.8S ribosomal RNA (bases 236-389)
Source: RNAcentral
UGGAAGUAAAAGUCGUAACAAGGUUUCCGUAGGUGAACCUGCGGAAGGAUCAUUACUGAGUACCGGGUCUCUCAGGCCCUUACUCCCACCCUUUGUGUACCUUACCAAAUUUCAGUUGCCUUGGUGGGACUCUAUCCCCUUAGAUUAGUUUCUAAUCCUUAGGCAGAGCCCACCAUUGGAACUCUAUUAAACUCUUGUGAAUUGAGUUGUCUGAGAACAAAAACAAAUAAAUUAAAACUUUCAACAACGGAUCUCUUGGUUCUGGCAUCGAUGAAGAACGCAGCGAAAUGCGAUAAGUAAUGUGAAUUGCAGAAUUCAGUGAAUCAUCGAAUCUUUGAACGCACAUUGCGCCCUUUGGUAUUCCGAGGGGCAUGUCUGUUCGAGCGUCAUUUCAACCCUCAAGCUUUUGCUUGGUAUUGGGCUUCAUCCUGCCUAAAGGAUGUGCCUAAAACUCAUUGGCGGUUGCACUUAGCUCCCUUGCGUAGUUAUUUUUUUCUCGCUUGGAAAUUUAGGUGUAACCCGCCUGAGAACCCCCAUAUAUCUUAAGGUUUGACCUCGGAUCAGAUAGGGAUACCCGCUGAACUUAAGCAUAUCAAUAAGCGGAGGAA